RNAcentral lists this transfer RNA (77 nucleotides) under Candidatus Doudnaibacteriota bacterium. RNAcentral's name for it is "Candidatus Doudnabacteria bacterium tRNA-Ile". It matches the Rfam family "tRNA". Rfam says of the family: Transfer RNA (tRNA) molecules are approximately 80 nucleotides in length. Their secondary structure includes four short double-helical elements and three loops (D, anti-codon, and T loops). Lineage: Bacteria; Candidatus Doudnaibacteriota. The record is from RNAcentral.
AGGCGAUUAGCUCAGCUGGCUAGAGCGCAGUCCUGAUAAGACUGAGGUCCCAAGUUCGAGUCUUGGAUCGCCUACCA